UUAAUGUGGCGGAGCCCGGCCC
This 22-nucleotide transfer RNA is filed under the name Tachiramantis prolixodiscus. RNAcentral's name for it is "partial tRNA-Leu". The record is from RNAcentral. Lineage: Eukaryota; Metazoa; Chordata; Amphibia; Anura; Strabomantidae.